AUUGAACGCUGGCGGCAUGCUUUACACAUGCAAGUCGAACGGCAGCGCGGGCUUCGGCCUGGCGGCGAGUGGCGAACGGGUGAGUAAUGCAUCGGAACGUGCCCAGUAGUGGGGGAUAGCCCGGCGAAAGCCGGAUUAAUACCGCAUACGACCUGAGGGUGAAAGCGGGGGGCCGAAAGGCCUCGCGCUAUUGGAGCGGCCGAUGUCGGGUUAGCUAGUUGGUGGGGUAAAGGCUUACCUAGGCGACGAUCCGUAGCUGGUCUGAGAGGACGACCAGCCACACUGGGACUGAGACACGGCCCAGACUCCUACGGGAGGCAGCAGUGGGGAAUGUUGGACAAUGGGGGCAACCCUGAUCCAGCCAUGCCGCGUGCGGGAAGAAGGCCUUCGGGUUGUAAACCGCUUUUGUUCGGGAAGAAAUCCUCUGGGCUAAUACCCCGGGGGGAUGACGGUACCGGAAGAAUAAGCACUGGCUAACUACGUG
RNAcentral lists this ribosomal RNA (484 nucleotides) under uncultured bacterium. Its description in RNAcentral is "partial 16S ribosomal RNA". It matches the Rfam family "Bacterial small subunit ribosomal RNA", at positions 28 to 507 of the family's 1533-position model. The record is from RNAcentral.